RNAcentral lists this ribosomal RNA (198 nucleotides) under uncultured bacterium. RNAcentral's name for it is "partial 16S ribosomal RNA". It matches the Rfam family "Bacterial small subunit ribosomal RNA", at positions 328 to 539 of the family's 1533-position model. The record is from RNAcentral.
ACGCUCGACACCUACGGAGGCAGCAGUCGGGAAUAUUGCGCAAUGGAGGGAACUCUGACGCAGUGACGCCGCGUAUAGGAAGAAGGUUUUCGGAUUGUAAACUAUUUUAGACAGGGAAGAAUAAAGACAGUACCUGUAGAAUAAGCUCCGGCUAACUACGUGCCUGCAGCCGCGGUAAUCUGAGCGGGCUGGCAAGGC